AGCAGCCGCGGUAAUUCCAGCUCCAAUAGCGUAUAUUAAAGUUGUUGCAGUUAAAAAGCUCGUAGUUGAAUUUCGGGAUCAAUAUGUUGGUCGUGCCUUGGUACGUACUGGCAUUAUCGAUUCCUACCUUCUGAAGAACCUCGAUGUCAUUAAUUUGGUGUCUUGGGGAAUCAGGACUGUUACUUUGAAAAAAUUAGAGUGUUUAAAGCAGGCUCGCGCUUGAAUACAUUAGCAUGGAAUAAUGAAAUAGGACGUUUGAUUCUAUUUUGUUGGUUUCUAGGAUCGACGUAAUGAUUAAUAGGGAUAGUUGGGGGCAUUAGUAUUCAAUUGUCAGAGGUGAAAUUCUUGGAUUUAUUGAAGACUAACUACUGCGAAAGCAUUUGCCAAGGAUGUUUUCAUUAAUCAAGAACGAAAGUUAGGGGAUCGAAGACGAUCAGAUACCGUCGUAGU
RNAcentral lists this ribosomal RNA (450 nucleotides) under uncultured Glomeromycotina. RNAcentral's name for it is "SSU rRNA". It matches the Rfam family "Eukaryotic small subunit ribosomal RNA", at positions 569 to 1024 of the family's 1831-position model. The record is from RNAcentral. Lineage: Eukaryota; Fungi; Glomeromycota.